GACUUUAUAGUGUAGCGGUCUGCACUCUCGGCAUGUAAUCGAGAGGUCCGUGGUUCAAGUCCUGGCAAAGGCG
This 73-nucleotide transfer RNA is filed under the name Stegodyphus mimosarum. It matches the Rfam family "tRNA". From Rfam's summary of the family: Transfer RNA (tRNA) molecules are approximately 80 nucleotides in length. Their secondary structure includes four short double-helical elements and three loops (D, anti-codon, and T loops). The record is from Rfam by way of RNAcentral. Lineage: Eukaryota; Metazoa; Arthropoda; Arachnida; Araneae; Eresidae.